RNAcentral lists this ribosomal RNA (872 nucleotides) under uncultured marine group I thaumarchaeote. Its description in RNAcentral is "SSU rRNA". It matches the Rfam family "Archaeal small subunit ribosomal RNA", at positions 27 to 906 of the family's 1478-position model. The record is from RNAcentral. Lineage: Archaea; Thermoproteati; Nitrososphaerota.
CUGCUAACGGAUGAUACUAAGCCAUGCGAGUCUUGUAGUAAUACAAGGCAGACGGCUCAGUAACACGUAGUCAACCUACCCUAUGGACAGGAAUAAUCUCGGGAAACUGGGCAUAAUUCUUGAUAGAUCAUAAUGCCUGGAAUGGUUUAUGGUUAAAAUGAUUCGUCGCCAUAGGAUGGGACUGCGGCCUAUCAGCUUGUUGGUGAGGUAAUGGCCCACCAAGGCGAUUACAGGUACGGGCUCUGAGAGGAGAAGCCCGGAGAUGGGUACUGAGACACGGACCCAGGCCCUAUGGGGCGCAGCAGGCGAGAAAACUUUGCAAUGUGCGAAAGCACGACAAGGUUAAUCCGAGUGAUUUCUGCUAAAGAAAUCUUUUGUCAGUCGUAAAACCACUGGCGAAUAAGGGGUGGGCAAGUUCUGGUGUCAGCCGCCGCGGUAAAACCAGCACCUCAAGUGGUCAGGAUGAUUAUUGGGCCUAAAGCAUCCGUAGCCGGCUUUGUAAGUUUUCGGUUAAAUCCAUGUGCUCAACGCAUGGGCUGCCGAAAAUACUGCAUGGCUAGGGAGUGGGAGAGGUAGACGGUACUCAGUAGGAAGGGGUAAAAUCCUUUGAUCUAUUGAUGACCACCUGUGGCGAAGGCGGUCUACCAGAACACGUUCGACGGUGAGGGAUGAAAGCUGGGGGAGCAAACCGGAUUAGAUACCCGGGUAGUCCCAGCCGUAAACGAUGCAGACUCGAUGAUGCAUUGGCAUAAUAGCCAAUGCAGUGUCGCAGGGAAGCCGUUAAGUCUGCCGCCUGGGAAGUACGUACGCAAGUAUGAAACUUAAAGGAAUUGGCGGGGGAGCACCACAAGGGGUGAAGCCUGCGGUUCAAU